GUGAAGAGGAAGAGAAGCGAGGGCGCCAGGAUGCAGAUCUUCGUGAAGACCCUGACGGGGAAGACCAUAACCCUCGAGGUCGAGAGCAGCGACACCAUCGACAAUGUCAAGGCUAAGAUCCAGUACAAGGAGGGAAUCCCGCCGGACCAGCAGCGGCUGAUCUUCGCCGGGAAGCAGCUGGAGGAUGGACGCACCCUGGCUGACUACAACAUACAGAAGGAGUCCACGCUCCACCUCGUCCUCGGCUCCGUGGCGGUAUUAUUGAGCCAUCGCUUCAGGCGCUCGCCCGCAAGUACAACCAGGACAAGAGAUUACUUCGGUCACCAUUAAUCCCGCCGGACCAGCAGCGGCUGAUCUUCGCCGGGAAGCAGCUGGAGGAUGGUCGCACCCUGGCUGACUACAACAUCCAGAAGGAGUCCACGCUCCACCUCGUCCUCAGGCUCCGUGGCGGUAUCAUUGAGCCAUCGCUUCAGGCGCUCGCCCGCAAGUACAACCAGGACAAGAUGAUCUGCCGCAAAUGCUAUGCGCGCCUGCACCCUAGGGCUGUCAACUGCCGCAAGAAGAAGUGUGGACACAGCAACCAGCUGAGGCCCAAGAAGAAGAUCAAGAACUAGAGCGUCACUCGUCGGGUUCAUGGACUGGCUAAAUCAAUCGUCAUAUUAGACCUUUUUGCUUCUGAUAUCUCUGGAUGUUUUUGAACCGUGUUUACUGUGCCGAAUGUUUCAGCUUCUUGUUUUCACGGUCGUGGUAUAUGGUAAUGGCAGCAAACUAUAUUCGGUCAUGUCUGAUUGUUAUGUGGUUCCAUA
RNA transcript from Oryza brachyantha (malo sina), 806 nucleotides. It is a transcript of the gene named ubiquitin-60S ribosomal protein L40-1-like, with no coding region annotated. NCBI's taxonomy places the organism in Eukaryota, Viridiplantae, Streptophyta, Magnoliopsida, Poales, Poaceae. The record is from RefSeq and is a predicted model, not a curated record. The transcript has 5 exons.